RNAcentral lists this ribosomal RNA (506 nucleotides) under uncultured bacterium. RNAcentral's name for it is "partial 16S ribosomal RNA". It matches the Rfam family "Bacterial small subunit ribosomal RNA", at positions 28 to 523 of the family's 1533-position model. The record is from RNAcentral.
GAUGAACGCUAGCUACAGGCUUAACACAUGCAAGUCGAGGGGUAACGAGAGGAAAGCUUGCUUUCCUUGUCGACGACCGGCGCACGGGUGAGUAACGCGUAUCCAACCUGCCCCCAACUAAGGAAUAACCUUGCGAAAGUAAGACUAAUACCUUAUAAUUUCCUCAGAUGUCAUCUGACGAGGAAUAAAGAUUUAUCGGUUGUGGAUGGGGAUGCGUCUGGUUAGCUUGUUGGCGGGGUAACGUCCCACCAAGGCAACGGUCAGUAGGGGUUCUGGAGGGAAGGUACCCCACAUGGGACAGGAGACACGGUCCAAACUCCUACGGGAGGCAGCAGUGAGGAAGAUUGGUCAAUGGGCGGAAGCCUGAACCAGCCAAGUAGCGUGCAGGAUGACGGCCCUAUGGGUUGUAAACUGCUUUUAUACAGGAAUAAAGUGAGCCACGUGUGGUUAUUUGUAGGUACUGUAUGAAUAGGGACCGGCUAAUUCCGUGCCAGCCGCCGCAGUAA